UAAGCCCAAAUGUUCAAACAAAUAGCCCAUCCCUAACCUAGCUACUCUAUUUAAACUUGUCCAAACAAAUUAAGUCCAAACAGAAACCUGUCCAAAAAAAUUAGAAGGGGAAGAAGAGUGAGAAUGAAACCCUAGAACUACUCACAGUCACCGUAUUCAUCUCUUUGCCAUUGUCACCAUCAAGCUCACCAUAUAUAGCAUCUGAGAUCAGAGGGAGAGUAACCUCAUCGCUACGGCCAUUCAUGUCCUCAUCGUUGUUGCCAUCAAGCUUCUACAUCAAUGCAUUAUCUCCUUCAUCUACAUGUAAUAACUUUAAUUUUGAGAUCAGAGAAAGAUUGAGUUCGUAGCCAUCGCCGGCACCGCCAUCAAGCUUAUCCGUAAAUGCUUUUGGUUUUCUCUGCAAUCACCUAAGCGUGGUUAGAAUUUGAUACAAAGGGAGAUCGCACAAAAAUUAUGCGUUGAAUGAUAGGAAUUUUAUCUCAUAACGAAGCUGGAAUCUGCUGAGAAGACCUGGCAAGAUUUAUCGGAACCUUAUCUCAUAAUGAAGCCGAAAUCUGCUGAGAAGACUUGGCAAGAUUUAUCGGUUAAGCUUGCUGACCCUGACCUUGUGUCUAAUCCGAGUGAGUACCAAAAAUUGGCAAAAUCAGUGGCAGAGCUUGAUGAGAAAAUUAAAAUAAUGUGUGAUAUUUUAUAUUCAUCUUGAGGCACUUCAACAUCUUGCUGGGAGUGCUGAUAUUAAGGACUGAGAAGCUGUGCUGGACAAGGCUGUGCAUACUGAAUAUGGUAAACAGAUUAUACGUGGGAUUGAUUUGGAGAGCAUGGGUAUAGUACAACGUGAUACUUUGUUGGCAUUUCGCACUCUUUGCAAGAUGGGUAUGAUGGAAGAUAAUGAUGAAGUUACAACCAAGACAAGGAUAUUAUCUCUUGAGCUUCUACAAGUUAUAAAGUGAUUUUAGCUAGCAUCUAUUAAUUGCUAGUUUAUAGGUUGUAGCAAAAUUCAUAGAAACUUAUGUUCCUUGUUUUUUUGCUUUACUACCAAGUUACAGGUCCAUUUGAUUUUCUGUGAUAUACUUGGUGCUUUUAAUUGUAUUGCCUUGGGUUUAGAUUUACAAAUGCAAUUAAUGUAAAGAUGAUGUAAAGAACACAUACAUAUCCUUUUGUUUUGAUGCUGAUAUUUGUAUUUAAUGCUUUCUUUUUUAACUAAAACCUUAUGGAAGGACGGCACAUUAUUGUCUUUUUAUUGUUCUUUGAAACUCAUUCACGUUGCUGUGAAUUGGUUUCUCAAUGUUUCAAAUUAUUUUUUUUUGUUCUUAACUGAUGACAAUUGAAUUUUUUAUUUUUUAUUUUAUUUUCUCAGGUUUUGUUGGAAGGAGUUAGCCACUCAUUUACAAAGAAUUUUUAUUUUAUUGAUUCGGUGAAGGCAUAUCUUUCAUAUGCAUUAUUGCGAGCUUCAGUUUCACAAUCCCGUCAUAUUUCAGAGUGAAAUAGGCAUCUUUUUUCAGCUGAUAGUGCUCAGACCACUGGACAGUUUAGAGUUUCUCAUCAACCAAAAAGUUAGUAUUCUUCGGUUACAGCUCUAUCAAAAAUAGCUCAAGGUACUCAAAAUAUUGAUCCAAAUUGCUGUUGCUGUUUCUCAAACAGCUUCAAUUAUAUGGGAAGUAAGUAGUUCAUUCGAGGUUUAGUUACUUUAAAAUUCUCUGUAGUUUCAUUGAAUUUCCAUAUUGGGUUUGAAACUAUUUUUUUUUUUGUGGAUAUUAUUAUAAAUUAGUGGAAAAACAAACUUGUUUCAGUUGCUCAAUUUUUGAAGAACACUCCCAAUCUGGAUAAGGUUGUAACUUUCAUGUAGUACAAUUUAACUCUAGAUUCAUGUUUGUUCUUGUAAUAUAUAUCUCUUGGUUGUAUUAGGGUAAAAAAUUAUGAAUGGAAGCUCCAUGGAAUUGAUCCAUGUGUAUUUUUA
Molecule: non-coding RNA, 1957 nt
Organism: Arachis ipaensis
Lineage: Eukaryota; Viridiplantae; Streptophyta; Magnoliopsida; Fabales; Fabaceae
Source: RefSeq, a predicted model, not a curated record